GAGUUUGAUCAUGGCUCAGAUUGAACGCUGGCGGCAUGCUUUACACAUGCAAGUCGAACGGCAGCGCGGGGCAACCUGGCGGCGAGUGGCGAACGGGUGAGUAAUAUAUCGGAACGUACCCAAGAGUGGGGGAUAACGUAGCGAAAGUUACGCUAAUACCGCAUACGAUCUACGGAUGAAAGUGGGGGAUCGCAAGACCUCAUGCUCCUGGAGCGGCCGAUAUCUGAUUAGCUAGUUGGUGAGGUAAUGGCUCACCAAGGCGACGAUCAGUAGCUGGUUUGAGAGGACGACCAGCCACACUGGGACUGAGACACGGCCCAGACUCCUACGGGAGGCAGCAGA
This 342-nucleotide ribosomal RNA is filed under the name uncultured Massilia sp. FR007. RNAcentral's name for it is "bacterial SSU rRNA". It matches the Rfam family "Bacterial small subunit ribosomal RNA", at positions 9 to 355 of the family's 1533-position model. Lineage: Bacteria; Pseudomonadati; Pseudomonadota; Betaproteobacteria; Burkholderiales; Oxalobacteraceae. The record is from RNAcentral.